GAUGAAGAACGCAGCGAAAUGCGAUACGUAAUGUGAAUUGCAGAAUUCAGUGAAUCAUCGAAUCUUUGAACGCAUAUUGCGCUCUCUGGUAUUCCGGAGAGCAUGCUUGUUUGAGUAUCAGUAAACACCUCAACUUCCAUAUCUUUUUUGAAAUGGGAGUUGGACUUGAGUGAUCCCAACGCUUUUCCUCACCGAAAAGUGGCGGGUUACUUGAAAUGCAGGUGCAGCUGGACUUUUCUCUUAGCUAUAAGCAUAUCUAUUUAGUCUGCCUAAAAAACAGAUUAUUACCUUUGCUGCAGCUAACAUAAAGGAGAAUAGUUCUUGUGCUGACUGAUGCAGGAUUCACAAAGACGGCUUCGGCCGACUUUGUAAACUCGAUCUCAAAUCAAGUAAGACUACCCGCUGAACUUAAGCAUAUCAAUAAGCGGAGGA
Molecule: unclassified non-coding RNA, 432 nt
Filed under: soil metagenome
Description: partial contains 5.8S ribosomal RNA, internal transcribed spacer 2, and large subunit ribosomal RNA
Rfam family: 5.8S ribosomal RNA (bases 1-120)
Source: RNAcentral